AGCUCCAAUAGCGUAUAUUAAAGUUGUUGCGGUUAAAAAGCUCGUAGUUGGAUCUCGGCAGGCAGGGGGUGGUUCGCUCCUUAGCGCUACUGCCCCAUUUGCCUGUGUGAUUGGCGGAGGUUUCGGGGUGCCCUUUAUUGAGUGACCCGGGGCGCCGUCAGGUUUACUUUGAAAAAAUUAGAGUGCUCAAAGCAGGCUUUUCACGCUUGAAUAUUCGUGCAUGGAAUAAUGGAAUAGGAACUCGUUUCUAUUUUGUUGGUUUUCGGAAAUCGAGUUAAUGAUUAAUAGGGACAAUUGGGGGCAUUAGUAUUCAGACGACAGAGGUGAAAUUCUUGGACCGUCUGAAGACUAACUACUGCGAAAGCAUUUGCCAAGAGUGUUU
Molecule: ribosomal RNA, 382 nt
Filed under: uncultured eukaryote
Lineage: Eukaryota
Description: SSU rRNA
Rfam family: Eukaryotic small subunit ribosomal RNA
Source: RNAcentral